UUUUUUUUUUUUUUUAAUGUAGUCUUUUCAAGUUGCAGAUUAUGUUGUUUUUGUAUCGUAAUCCAAUAAAGAAAACUAAUUUAGUUGCUUCCGAAAAAUAAAAAAAAAAGGGAAAAAAAAAAAACAACAACUCGACAGCAAUAGCCUAAGUUUAUAGGAUUGAUUGACCGAUUAAAAUAAUAACACAAUUACAUAUACUAUAUGCUUGAUUGACCGACUAAAACAAAGAUGCUAAAUACAUGUAUAUAUAAUAUACAGGUCAAUGGGUAGGGUUUGGAUUGGAUCACUUUGAUCCAAAUUUAGAACCAUUAAAUCUAAUUAGAUCCAGACCGAAACCCAGACUCAUACCCUUAUGGGUUUGAAAAAAUAAGUCCAAAUCCAGAUUCUCUUGAAUUUGGAUAUUCAAUGGAUAUCCGUUGUAUUUUUGUAAACACACUAAAUAAAAAUGUAUUAAAAAUACAUACAUUUUAAAAAAUAUAAACACCAUCCAGUUUUUAUUUUCAAAUAAUAAAUUUAAUAUUCAAGAAGUUGAAUGCAAUAUUAUGAACUAAAAAAAUAACUACUAUCGACUGCUUCUAUUUAUUUUUAAAACUUUAACUGUAUCUACGUCAAAUCUUUCAUUUAUUUGCCUUUACUUUUUCUCCUUUUUCUGAAAAAGUUUGUACUAAUUACAAUGACAAUUAGAAUUAGGAUUAAAAACGAAAACAAUCAUGAAGUCUUACUGUAUUCGAUCCAAUAACCAUAGAAUAUUAUAAUAUUUUAUAAAUUUACUAAUAUAUAUACAUACACACACACACAUAUAUAAUUUAAUUAUAUAUACAUGGGUCUGGGUAGGAUCUAGUAUAGAUUUGUAUUUGAACAUGGAUCAUAAAAAAUUAGACCCUACUUAGACCCAUAACUCUUUUAUAAGGAUGGCAAUCGGAUAAAAAAUAGAUUGACGGAUCAGAUCAAGACCUGGGUAUAAUAAAAGACCCGCUGAUUUGAACACGACCCGCCAACCCACAGUGAAUCAACAUAUUUGACCUGAAUACGAAAUUUUCAAAUUCAACUGAUUCGAUAUGACCCGAAAUAUAAUUUCAAUUUACUAAUCUACCGCUGUAAUUUCUAAUAGAACUAAUUCCACACAAAACUAAUUACAUAAUCAAAUAAUAAAUACCCUAAUAAAACAAUCCCAAGUUAGAUCUAGAGUAAAUAAAGACACCAUAAGAAUAGAAAAUAAUGUAAUAUUUCAUUUGUCCAAACAUAACAACUCCAACUUCACACAAGCCAAACAAAUUCAAUUAGAACAAUUAGACAAACGGCUACUAGCCAAAUACAAGUUUAAAGUCAAUACAUUACAAUGCACAUGAAACAGAUAAAAAUACCUGUUUAGAUAAUUUUUUUAUAUUUAUUAACUUAUUUUUAUUUACUCAACGGGUCAACCUGUUUCUGAUUUGAAUUUGACUUGUUUUUUUUUCAGGCUCAUUAGGUUCAACCCGAUUUUGACUCGAACUCAGAAAACCUAAACCCAAACCCAUUAAUUUCGUGUUAGAUGUGUUCUAUUUUCAAAUCAUGUAAAAAAUUGUUACCCCUGCUCUUUUACAGAGUUUGGGUCUAAGUAGGGGAAAAUGCCGGUUUUCAUCCCCAAACUUUGGGGUAAGGACACAUUUCGUCCCUCAACUUUUGGGCACGACACAUUUGAUGUUUGAAUUAACAAUUUUUGACUAAUGUCAUCCUCAAACGGCAAUUUAGCCAAUUUUUAACGGAACUGGUCAUGUGAAAAUCACAUGACCGUUAAGUAAAUUUAAAUCACAUUUUUAACAAAACCUGCCAGUUUCCUGCAUGCAAUCAGUCAACUUUUGGCAAUUUUGACUAAGCAUCCAUCAAUAAACACUUGCGUCCCGUACAUAAGGGGGGAAAAAAGCUAAAAAUAAGGAUAAAAUGAAAAAUAGGCAUGAAAAGAAAUAACCAGCAUGAAAAAUGAAAAGGGAUAAUUUCACAAACAUCCCUUGAGAUUUUUAAUAGUUACAAAAAGCUCCCCUCAAAAUUUAAAAAUUACAUAUACUUUGCAUACUUUUACUAUUUAUAUAAGAGCAAAUUAUUUGAGUAGCCAUUGAACUAUUUGAAUAGUAAAAAUUUGGCCCUUCAAUUAUUCAUAACAUAUUUUUACCCAUUGAACUAUUAAAAGUAUAAACUUUGAAUUAUUCAUAACAUAUUUUUACCCAUUGAACUAGUAUGUUUUGUAUUUAACAUAAAUUAAAUAUGUGAAAGUUAAAAAAAAAUAAUAAAUUGUCCAUAACAUACCAGCUCUUUAUGGGAAACUGGCAGGUUUUGUAGUAUGUUUUGUACCAGCUCUUUAUGGGAAACAUACCAACUCUUUAUAGGAAAAAUUGGUUAAAUAGCGCCCAAAUAAAAACUAGUAUGUUUUGUAUUUAACAUAAAUUAAAUAUGUGAAAGUUUAAAAAAAAAAUAAAUUGCCCAUAACAUACCAGCUCUUUAUGGGAAACUGGCAGGUUUUGUAGUAUGUUUUGUACCAGCUCUUUAUGGGAAACAUACCAGCUCUUUAUAGGAAAAAUUGGUUAAAUAGCGCCUAAAGGAAAACUAGUAUGUUUUAUAUUUAACAUAAAUUAAAUAUGUGAAAGUUAAAAAAAAAAUAAAUUGCCCAUAACAUACCAGCUCUUUAUGGGAAAUUGGCAGGUUUUGUAGUAUGUUUUGUACCAGCUCUUUAUGGGAAACAUACCAGCACUUUAUAGGAAAAAUUGGUUAAAUAGCGCCCAAAGGAAAACUAGUAUGUUUUGUAUUUAACAUAAAUUAAAUAUGUGAAAGUUAAAAAAAAAUAAUAAAUUGCUCAUAACAUACCAGCUCUUUAUGAGAAAUUGACAGGUUUUGUUAAAAAUGUGAUUUAAGUUUACUUAACGGUCAUGUGAUUUUCACGUGAACAGUUUCGUUAAAAAUUGGCUAAAUUGCCGUUUGAGAAUGACAUUGGUAAAAAAUUAUUAAUUCAGACAUCAAAUGUGUCGUGCCCAAAAGUUGAGGGACGAAAUGUGUCCUUACUUCAAAGUUUGGGAUGAAAACCGGCAUUUUCCCGUCUAAGUAGGGUUUAGAUUUGAGAAAUUAAAUCCAAAGUACAUUGGAUCUGGGUAAGACCCAAUCCAUUAAUAUACCUAAUGUAUAUUCCUCUGGGAUGUUUAAAACAGAACUGGAUUCGGAUGCAAAAAGGUCGUCUUAAUUUUUUUCCUUUAGUUUUCAAAGUCGUUUACAAAAAGCGCCUGCCUUCCAAAUCCUGAUCGACGUUGUCUACCAACCUCCUCUCUUAAAACUUUUUUUUUUUUUCAAGAAUUAGUGGUUUGAUAAAAUACCCUUUUGCGUUUCUCAAUCCCAAUUUUCCUCGGUUGUUUUAGCAAUUUCUAAUCUUGCUGAAACCAACAAUGGAGAAGACGGCAAAGAAGGCACAGGCAGAAGGCAGCGAAGAUGAUGGCAUAUCAAAAUUACCAGAAGAUAUUAUGCAAUACAUACUUUCAAAUUUCCUAACACCAAAAGAAGCAGCCCAAACAAGGCUAUUGUCCAAGGCAUGGCGGAGUGCGUGGCAUACAUCCCCAGUUGUGUGUUUUUGCGAACCAAACUUCGGUAAGAGCUCCAAUCCUGAAUUUUGCAGAGCCAUGUUCUUGAAUUUUGUGAAUAAGGUCUUGCUGAAUUAUCGUGAGCAUAACCAUAGGAUACAAACUUUCAAGCUUCAGAUGAUAUUUAACACUGAGUCCGCUCAACUUGUUGAUGAAUGGAUGAAGAUUGCUCUAGAGAAAGGAUUGAGAAAACUUGAGCUCAGAACUUAUGAGAAGUCAUAUAUUUUACCUAGUAUAACCCUUGAAUCUAGAUCCCUUGAAGAAUUGGUUCUAUACAACUGCAAGUUUGAGCAGAAGCAAGUAAUAAAACAUAUAAUGUGUCAAAGUCUUAGAAGACUAGAUCUUGAAAAUGUGUUUUUAGUUGAUGAAGUAUUGGAGAAUAUCAUCUUAAACUGUAGGUUGAUUGAAAAUUUGAAAAUUCAUCACUGUGACGGCUUGAGAAACAUUACAGUAAAAGACCUCAAAAAACUCAAAGAAUUUUCUGUUAUCUAUGAUGGGGAACAGAAUGUUCAAGUUUAUUCACCAAAUUUAGAAUCCUUUACUUGUCAGAGAGGUUCAUGGUAUUGUCAGUCAAUCCGAGGGAGGCUUAGGUUGUUCGCAGCUCAAAAUUUGAAACUCCUAGUAUUAAAUGGUAUUUGCAUCACUGACGAGUUUUUCUUGGGCCUUGGAAACGUGUUUCCGCACAUUGAAGAAUUGAAAGUCAGCAAUUCUGAUGAUACACAUAGGAUCAAGAUAUCUAGUCAGUCCCUCAGGAAGUUGGAGUUGAUUCGUAACGAGAAAUUAGAGGAGGUGCAAGUUGAUGCUCCAAAGAUUGUUCAGUUUGUAUACAUGGGCAGCAGCAUUCCCCGUGUAUCUAUCACCAGUGCUCCCUUAAGUCAUUUGGAAUCAAGAAUUGGAGUAAAUUGCAACAACAACGUGAACAAUUCCUGGUUCUUUAAACUAAAGGAGAUGUUAACCAACUUGGGACAAUCAAAAGUUUUUCUGGGGAUAUCUGUUCGUGCAGAUGUAACAGUUAAUCUUAAUGAGAUUAGAGAUGGUCCAACCAAUCCUACACCUGAAAUUGAAGAAUUAUCUGUAGAAGUUGUUUCGUAUUGUGCAUCUAAACAGACUACUGCUGCAGCACUGCUAGAUGCAUGUUUUUGGAGCUUUCGUCCUAAAAUCAUACUCCAGGAGUGGUGUUUUCGUGGAACAAUUUACUUCACACAGUUCCUCCUCGAGCUGUUGAUGAUUAGCAGAAAUCAAGACCAUCUGAAUUUGUUGGAAACCACGUUUUGGCUGAAAAAUCUAAAAGAUGUCAAAGUUGUUGUGAUGAAGAGGUCUGGGCUAAACGAUGAGUGGCAGCCUGAGCUUUCAGACUGGAAGCCCCUACUUUAUUCAUGUGACGAUGGUGGUUUCAACACAGCAGUUCAUUUCAAUUUAGAAUGGUGGUGAAAAUAUAUACAGUUUGGACUCGAUUAGGAUUCCGGGUUUUAUGUGAUUAGUAAGUUUAGAUUACGUUUUUCACUCUAGCAAUCUAGUCAGUCUAUCAGGAAAAUACAGUUGAUUGAUAACGAGAAAUUAGAGGAAUUGUCCAAAUGUUAUUGUGCUUGAAUACACAGGCUCGAGCAUCCCGCAUGUAAUUUUUACCCUUCUCUCAAGUCCUUGGGAAUUUAGAAUUGGUCUAAAUUGUCAUAAUGCGAUCGACAAUCCAUGGUUGUUUAAAUUAAAGGAGAUGUUAACAAGCUUGAGGAACUCAAAAAUUUUUUCUGGGGAUUACUUGUUGUGCAUCUGCAAAAGUUGAUCUCGAUGAGAUUAAAGAUGGUCCAAUGGAUCCUAGACUUGAAAUUGAAGAGUUAUCUAUAAAAUUUUCUCAACGGCAAGGACGGAAGGUUUCUGCAGCUUUUCUAGAUGGAUGGAUGCGGUGCUUUUGUCCUCAAAUCAUACAACAGGAGUGGUGUUUUCUUGGAACUAUUCACUUCACACAGUUCCUCCUCGAGUUUCUGAUGAUCAGAAGAAAUCAAGACCAUCUGAAUUUGCAGGAAACUAAAAAGCUUUGGCUGGAAGAUGUCAAAGUUGCAAUCUUGAAGAAGAGUAUAUUAGAUGAUGAGUGGCAGCCUGAACUUUUGGACUGGAAGACUUUGCUGCAUUCCCACGACUCUGGUGAUUUCCACACAGCAAUUCGCUUUGAUUUAGAAUGGCGGUGAAAAUCUUUGCAGUUGGAACUGGUGCUAAUGCAAUUCAGGGCUUACCUGAUUAGGAGAUGUAAACUAAUAUGUUAUCCUUUAGCUAUCUGCAGUGGGAUGAACUUUUUCUUGGAACGAACAUUUUCUAUGGUAUGAUCUUUUUUGUUCAGCCUUUUCUGUCUAGAUUCUAAUUUCCUUAAAGGACAUUGAAGAUUUCAGGUUUCAUGACAGUUAUACUGAUGGAAUGCUGGGAUUAGUCAGUCCCGUAAGCUUUACUAGAUGGGAAUUCAUCUUUGGACAAUGGUUAUUGACCUUUUGCCUAUCCCCUGUUUCCCCUGUUUCAUCUUAGUCGUAAUUGUUUUAUUCUAACAUGUUACCUAAAUUGCAUCUUAGACCAUUUUCAUUGAUUCGCUAAUGAUUCUACUUUCCUAAAAGAUGCAAAUUUAAUUGCUUGGAAAAUUAUUUGCUUACUCAAAAGAAUUGUAAACAUUAGAAUAAAAAUACCUUGUGGUGUUUCUUCUUUCCAAUAUCCAUUCCUUAGCUGUAAUUUUUUUUGGUUAGGAAUUUUUUUUGAAAGUCUAAUCUUAAUCACACUUAGACAGGCAAUGAAUAUAUCAAAGCAAGCAACAAAUAUAUGCAUUAAACACCAGCAACCUUUUUGCAUGUUUUUAGGAGCUGUGUACAAAACCAUGGGAAAACUCUGGCCAGCUGAAGUUACGAAAUUUUGCACUAACAAUACCAAAAAAAAAAAAAAAAAGUGUCAGACAUUGAGGUUGAACAGGUUGAUUAUUUCAGAGUGAUACAUAGAUUAUAGCUAUUUAGAGAGUCAGAAUUAACUAACAAAAUUGAUCUAGUAUUCAUAAUUCUCGCUCAUAAAACUUGCAAUUGUAGUUUAACAUUGACUUAAAUACCGAAGCAAAAGACUUGCGAGAAAGACAUUUUCAAUCUUGUCCACUAUUUGAAUGUGCUUAUAAAUUAAGGAUUUGGGGCAGGGACGGUCAUACGGAUGACCGUCCCUGCACGGUUCAUGGUCCAGAUUGGACCUCAAAAAAAUGUGCGGCUCAGAUAAUAAGUGGUAACUCGAUUUCCGCGCCAAGUGUGGGGCCCACCACUAUCUGUUGUGAAAAUACAACCUGUGGAAAAAAAGUUACACGCUGAACAAAAGAAGUUACGCGCUGUUGAUGAAGAGGAAAUUUGUCAGGGACCUGCCCCGAGUCCAUAAAUUAACUUCCCAGCAAUCAGACCUGAGUUCUGCAUUGGGAACUCCACCAACUUUUGACUGUUUAAUUAUUGGGCAAAAGAAAUAUAUUAUCUCCAUUUUGAUGAACCAAGUUGUUACAUUAUCAGGGACAUUGUCUACUAGCAAGCAAGAUAUAUAAUCUCAUCCUCAAAAGUGUAGGCAUUGCAUCAAAAAGAACUUAUGGGUAUGACAUGAACAGUAAGUUCAUGCAUAUAUUCAAAGGUAAAUUACACUUUACCCCCCGUGGUUUAGUAUUUUUGUACAUAACCGCUCUAUGAUUUCAAAAACUAUACUUAAUCCUCUCAUGAUUUGAAUUAAAGUGUCAAAGUAACGGAAUUUGCAAUCCAUAGCAAAGUCACCUAAAAUAUAAAAAAUAUCCCUAUAUAAAGUUGAAAAUGAUUUAUUAACCACAGGGGGGGUUAUGUGUAUGUUUUAAAAAUUAAAAGGGAGUUAUAUGAUAAAGUAUUAAAUCAUAAGGAGAUUAUAUGGUAAAACAUAAAAUCAUACGGCGUCAUGUAUAUUAUAUUUAUAUAUUUUGAUCAUUUCAACCAUUUUAAUUUUUAAAUAAGGGUAAUUUUGAUAUUUUUAAAGAUCCUGUUACGAAUGGUCAUUUCUGUCACUUUGCUACUUUAAUCCAAAUUAUGAGGGGGUUAUGUAUAGUUUUUAAAAUCAUAGGGGGUUAUGUAAAAACAAAUUAAACCAUAAGGGGGUAAAAUGUAAUUUACCCUAUAUUCAACUGACAUGUAUGUAUAUUCACGUCCGAUCAACAAAGCACCAUAUUCACUAAGCAAAACUUCAGAUGUUUUCUCAUGUGCAAUUUGAAGUUGUCCAACCACUUAAGAAAACAUGACUAAAGCCCUGAAAUGAGCAAAUCUGAGAGUCGAAAAGACGAGCUUCAACAGCGGCAAACCAUGCUCAUCUGCAUUGACCUUUUCAACACACUUGAUUUUGUUGAACAGGUAAACGUAUACUGGUGUACAAACGAAAGUAGCAAACUGGUGCUUGUCAAAGAAGUUACCAGGCAAGUUCGAAGAAAGUAGCUUCAAUUCUUUAACUUUAGACAAUAAACUAGUUACGCUGUUUCUUUUCAGUGGAACCAAUCAACCAAACAAUAACAAUAUAUAUUUUGGAGAGAAAAAAAAAUGAUUGCAACAUCAUCUUGCAAUAAACUUUUGGCCCAUUCCAACACCCCGUCGUCUGAGAAGCUUUCUUCUCAGUCCAUCCAUCCAUCCAUCCAUGGCGGAAGGCAGCACAAGCGGAUUAUCAGAGCUCCCACAACACAUUAUCCAUCACAUCCUCUCUUACCUCUCAGCAGAAGAAUCAACAAAAACGAGCUUAAUAUCGAAAUCAUGGUUAAGCGCGUGUCAAACCAGCCCAAAAUUGGAAUUCAAUCCUCACGUCUACUUCUCCAGGAAACUCAAUCCAGCUCGCUUCUGGGAUUGGAGCAAAGAAAAGAGAAGGGAGAAAUACGAGGAGUUCUUCCAACACGUGAAGAAAGCCCUGAAGCCGUAUAGCAAACAGGGGUUACGCAUAAACACGGUUAAUUUCACGCUUGAAGCGACUCGCGAUUCUCAGUGGAAUCCACUCCUUGAGAAAUGCACAAAAAUAGCCGUGAAAAAUGGGGUAAGGAAUCUUGAUUUUUUUAUCCCGGAAUGUGAUUUGCCAGCAAUUGUAUUUAGAGCUAAAUCACUUGUUGAUUUAAGUGUUAGAGAGGGUAAUAUUAAGCGAAUGUCAGUUGGGGAAAUUAUAUGUCCUGGGCUUAGAAAACUGUGCCUUAAAUGGGUGAGUUUGGACGUGGAGAUGUUUAAUAAUAUAAUUGAAAGCUGCUCUUUUAUUGAAGUAUUGGAAGUUUGGUAUAUCCAGGUGUUUGAUGAUUUUAAGGUGACUAAGUUGAACAACCUUAAGGAACUUACAGUUCGGUUAUUCGAAAAUCAGUGGGUUAAAGUUGAAGCACCAAAGCUUGAGUUGCUAACUUGCACAGAUGAUGAGAAUUGGUUUGAGGGUGAGGAUGGGGAUGAGGAAGACAGAUUGACUUGUGGGAUUAGAUUCCCUGCCUCGCACUAUCAGAAUCUCAAGUCUUUACUGUUUAGUGGGAUUGGGAUAGAUGACACUUUCUUUAUAGAUUUGGCGUGUAAGUUCCCCAACCUUGAAGAUUUAAUGGUCAGAUAUUGCCAAGAGCUAGAAAGUAUCAAGAUUUCGAGUCAGUCCCUGAAAAGAAUAGAGUUGAUGGACAAUAAAAAAUUGGUAGAAGCACAGUUUGAAGUUCCCAAGAUUCUAGCCUUCGAAUAUUCUAAUGUAUGCGACAUCAUACCCCGAUUUCUUUUUGCGACUGCCUCAAGUUGUUGGACUUCUUCCAUUUGUUUAUGGUGCAUGGAACAUGUAGAUGUUUCAUGGUUUGUCAAAUUGAAAGAAUUAUUAGCAAGUUUAUUUCAGUCUGAAGUUUCACUUGACAUUGACUUUAUAUGCAGCGUAGCCUUUGAUCUGAAUGAGAUUAGGGAUAUUGUCAAAAUUCGUGAACCUCAAGAGGUGCAGAAGUUGACUUUACAUUUUGACUGGAUGUUCUCUUUAGAGAAGGGAUUUUCAGCUCUCGAUGGUCUUUUCUGGGUUUGUCGCCCUAAAUAUGUAAACACAGAGUGGCAUGAUAGCUUAGAGAAGAAUGACGCGGUGAAGUUUCUAUACGACACACUGAUGUUCAGAAGAACUCAGGAUCAGUUUCAGUAUUCGUUGCAAAGUAAGUUCUGGCAGCAUGAUUUGAAGGAAGUAAACAUUGAGGUCCUUGAUAGAUCUAUAUGCAUGAUAGGGGAUAGAGUCAACUUUACGACAAAGGGGAAAAAUGAGCAUCAGCAAGAAGAUUUGGACUGGGAGAACAUUCUGAAUUUGUUAAGGAAUGAUGGAAGCUUUGGAACGAUGGUCUACUUCAAGUUACAGUGGUAAGACAUGAUAUGCCCUAGGUAGUUAAAAGAUUGAAUCUGUAGAAAUCGAAGUUGGAAUAAUGGCAGAAAGUUAUGUUAUAGUAAUAUUCUGUUAGUAUGGUAAUUUACUUGGGGGGUAUCAAUUUUGAGUUGAUCUGGUUAUUUCAUAGUGCAGCUCGACAUGCUUCUUUUGAUUCAGGUACUGAGUUUUUACUGGUUCAAAAGGAUGGAGAAACUUAUAACUAGUGCAAUAAACCAUUGUGGGUAUAAAGUUUUCGCCUAUUGCUACAUUUAUUUGGGAGAGACACCUUCUUUAGAAUUUGUUUUACAAAGUGCAUGUGCCUUUUGACAUAUCAUGGUUGGUUCAUUUAGUUUAUCUUUGAAUUCAUUCCAUUAUUUUUUUUACAUCACAGGUUGCGUGUCAUGGAGAAGGAUGGAAGAAAUUUCGAGACUUGAAGCUGUUAAAAGAAUUUGCAGUAAAUCUGUUAUUUAUAAUCAUACUUAUAUUUGGAUGUCUAGGAAGUUGAGCAAAUGGUAUCUAGUAUUUGUCUCUUUAACUAGUCCUUGGUAACAUUGGAUUAUAAUGAUCUGGAGCUUUUGAUUCAUUUUCAAGUCUGUUUAAGUAGCUGGAUGUUUGAACCACAAUAUGCUUGCUUUGGUCAAUUACUAAUGCUGAGAUAUGAGCUUGCUACCACCAUUUUGCUCAAACUGAGACAGGAAAUUGAAAUUUGCUGGCAACUUCAUUUGGAAUACCCAUUUCUUGAUCUAUUCUUGUAAUCAUUUUGACUAGUAAUAGACUGCUUCAGAUCUAACCAGGACAUGAAGAAACUUCAUCCAAGUCACUGCUUCAGAUCUGACCAGGACAUGAAGAAACUUCAUCCAAGUCAGACGUUAACUAUUGCAGACGACACAUACAUCAUAGCUACUGUAGAGAGCCAAAAUUGACUAUAUCAUGGUGCCUUGGGAAGGUGUAAAAGGAGAGGGCUUGAGUGAUGAAGAUGCAGUGCAUUCCAGGUGCAAAUGCUUAGCUAUAUUCUUAGCUACAGCAAAAUUUACUCGUCAGGCAGGCUUGCCUUUUUGGUUAUAAACAAUCGUUGAGAAAUGUCCACAUCUCUGUUGCAGUUUAUCAUUAAGAACUUUGUAUUUUUAUUGAUAAGUAGCUCUUAGAAAAAUCUUUGCAUAUUCUCUUUUGGUUAGUGAAUCAGCAACUUUUUAAAUUAGUCAACAAAUAAGCAGUAAAAUGUCUGCAUCUAGGUUUUGAUUUGGUUCAAAGUAAUGAAUUUUCAAUAAAAAGAACUUUUACUGUUUCUAUCACAUAAGAUGUUUGAUUCGGUCCCACUCUUUAACAAUCUACCUUUCUGUGCUUUAAAUUUUCUAGAGCUUGUUUUUCUACGCAUACCAAAUAAUCCAAUUGGUGCAUUGUUUGUAAUCAUUUGCCAUGCUUCUUUGACUUAUCAAUGCAAUGUCUUAAUAUUUGACGCGUCUUUAGAUUAUUGACCUGCUUCUUGAAGCCAUGAAAUGCUGGCUUAAUUAAGUGACCGAGUCGAGUAUAGGCUUCUUAAGAAUUCCAACAUAAAGGAGCAACUGAUUGGUGUUAUGAUAAACAAAUCUCUAUCUCUUUUAUCCCGCUUAAUUCAGCCAUUGACUGCAAACUUCAAAUAGUGCCAAAGUCUUUAUUCUGUAAUUAUUUUUUUUAACAUUUUCUCUUCACAAUUGAGUAUUCCAUACUCGUAACUAGUGGUUGCUUCUUAGUAUUCCACAAUUGUUCUUUUCUGGUGUAAAUGACUUUUCCACGAAAAAAAAGGAGGAGAAAACACACAGACAUAUGCACCAUAAGCACUUUGCACAAAUUUGCUACUAAAAUGAUGUACAAUUGCAGUCCAUUUCACGAUUAGAGCUUGCAAAUCAUGCUGCUUGGAACAAACACUCAGUGACAGUGUUAGGAUCUUGGUCAUUGAAUUCGAAGCAGGAAGUAGCAAGGGUUUUUUAAAUAGUUCACAUUUUUAAUUAGUCAAAAAAAAAAUAUUCGCUCAAAUCACAAGAUCUAAAUUGAUUUUAAUAUGUAUGGGACUCGAAAAAUAAAUGUACUAAAUAUACACUGUAUUCAAAUUGAUUUACAUUCUGAAUAAAUGUAUUUACAAUUUAUUGAAAUGCAUGAAAUAGUUCCGAGCCAAUUUCAUGGGUAAUGGGCAUAUUAUACUCCUAAAAUGAGGUCCAUUUUAUUUAAAAUAAAUUCAAUUUAAGACUAUGUAUUUGUUCUAAAUUUAUCUUUCUGUUUUAAGCAUUCUAUUCUUAUUCAAAAACUAAGUUAUUUUCUUUUUUUGUUAGAUUACUCUAACACAAUAGUAUCAUUGGAAAGACGUACAGAAAUUUCAUCAUUUAGGGGGCAAUGUGAGAGCAAAAUUAAAUUAUUUGUGUAGGCACGAUACUUCUAUAAUAGUGAGUUGAGUUUGAACUCGAUUUUUCUCUCUCUUGGGAGUCUCCUUUCUCUCUCUUGGGAGUUGUGCUUUCUUCUUCCUAGGUGUGGGAGUUUAUGUCUGAAAGGGCCAACAGUUUCAAAAAGUUUUCAAAAGCUCACAAACCCGGGACAUUGAAUUCCCAAAUGCUUUGCUAUCAACAAAAUCAGAUUAUGUAGGGACCGGCGACAAAUCUGCACUUUUUGUCCGAAACCACUUAACUACCAACAUCAUUUAUGGCUGACAAAUGAAGAGCAUACUAGUAAUGAAAACAGAGCUCAUACCUGCAUAGGUGUAACAAAAAACAGAGUCUUUCCACUCAACUGUUCCAUUAGCUCUGACAGGUAAAGGGUUAACAUCUCCCUUCUGAACUUUGUCCGAUCGUGUUUUUUGUCUCUUCCUCUUUUAUUUCUUCUUCGUUUUUUAUUUUCCUCUGGUGGCUAUAGGUCUUAUUUUCUGCUUGUGUAAGUCUUAGGAGUAAUAGUCUUUUUUUGGUUAGUAAAGACUAGACUUUUCUCUUGCUUGGCGGUAUCAGCUCUUGGUUGGCUUUGCUUUCAAAAUCAAAAGUGGUGUUUGGUUUUUUCCUGGGAGGUAAAGUGUCGAUGGCAGAGGAACUAGCUUCUAUAAUGUAGAGGUUCGCACUCUCUGAGCAAGAGUUGGGAGGUACAGCUCUGGAACUGGGAGAUGCUAACACGGGUAUUCAGGAGUGCCAACUGAGUCUGGUAGGAAGAGUGAUAGGGGAGAAGUUGAUUAAUUUUGUGGGGGUGAAAAAUUUUGUAAGCCUGGCUUGGGGCUAUCCUCGUGGGUUGACUGUUAUGGAGUUAGGACCUAACUUGUUUCAGUUUAUCAUUCUGAGUGCUACCGAUAGAGAGAGGAUUCUGAAUGGAGGACCUUGGAUAGUAGAUAGCCAAAUAUUGAUCCUCAGAAGGCGGUAUAAUGGGAUAGAGGAGGACAAUGGUGCUUUUAAGUUGACUCCUUUGUGGAUACAGGUGUGGAAUCUUCCUGUACAUUGGAUCUCGAAAGAGGUUGGGUGGAAAAUUGGAUCUAUUUUUCCAGAAGUGAAUCCCCAAACGGGAGGAAAUGAAGGGAGACACUUGAAGAUAUUGGUGAUCGUAGAUAUUUCCCGUCCACUGGUGAGAGGAUCAGUAGUAAAGCUUAGUGGAGUAGGGAAAUGGAUUAGUUUCAAGUAUGAAUGGUGCCCGGACUUCCGUUAUGGGUGUGGUAUAGUUGGACACAGUGAGAGAAGUUGUAAAACUUCUUCUAGCAUAGGGAGAGGACUAUCAGAUAACCAAUACGGACCCUGGCUAAGAGGUAACUGGAAUAAAGGAAUUCCACAGGUUGAACAGACCAUAAGUAGAGGAAGACAAGGUAAGGUGCUGUGGGGUUUUAAGGAUGGGGAACUGGUGCGAAAAGGAGGAAGUGAGGACCCUCGGGGUUUGGAGGAUAGCGCGAAGGGAGGAUAUGAACAAAGGGUUAUGAGAAAAGAGGUGCCAACCAAGGUGAUAGAAGGACAAGAAAGGGAGGCCCAAGCAAUUCCAAGUAUAAUGAGCCAGGAAGAUAGUUUAGAGGGGACAAGCAGAAAUCUGAGAGUUUCAGCACCUAUUGAGGUACAAGAUAUGGAGACAAAUAGCAUUACUGAAGGACAGGUUAUGCGGUCAGGAGACCCAUGUAGCAUUGAGAGGGAGAGGAGAAGCGAGGCAAUAAAUGUUGCAACUGUGGAUGAUGGGGGAUGUGGGGAUGGAAGAAAUGCUGCAGGAAGAAAAUGAGAUACAGGAAAGGAAACAUGUGGCUAUCUAGAAGAUGAACACUAGGAUUAGAAGACAACUUAAGCCUCCGAGCAGGAAGAGGACUCCUUUGGGUGAAACAGAUGGAAAUGUCAGGAAAAUAGAGACUAGAGGAAAGAGAAAAACAUAUCAAGAGGAUACUAAAAUGAAAGAAGCUGAAGGUGAGUGCUUGAAUUUAAAAAGGAAUAAGAGGGAUCAGUCCUUGAAAAUACGGUUAGAGAUUGCUGAAGGUGGGAGGGGGACCAGCCUAAAUGGGUCCCCAAGUGGACAAUGAGAGUACUGGUGUGGAAUUGCCAAGGUGCAGGGAGCCCCUUGACAAUUCCCCAACUGAGGGAGGCUUGCAACAUCCUUUCCCCAAGUGUUGUUUUCUUGUGUGAAACUAAGAAUGGGGACAAGUAUAUGGAGACUGUUAGGAAAAGACUGAAUUUUGAUCAUAGUGCGAUUGUAGAGUCUAUGAAUAGGUCUGGGGGAUGGCCCUUUUUUGGAAACAGGAAGUGAAAAUUACAGAAAUACAUAAGAUAGCGUUCACCAUUGAGGCUCAUAUAUACAUAAGAUAGCGUUCACCAUUGAGGCUCAUAUAGUGGACCACAAUCAACAUUCCGACUGGUGACUGAUUGGUAUAUAUGCAAGUUGUGAUGUGGCAACUAGGAAGAAUCAGUGGAAAGUGUCGAAUGAAAGGAAAAGACAAUGGGGACAAAGAUGGAUAGUUGCAGGAGAUUUUAAUGAUAUAGUGUCCAAUGAAGAGAAAUGGGGAGGAAGAAGCAGAGAGGAGUGGACCUUUAGAGAUUUUAAGCAAUUCAUUGCGGAUAAUGAGCUGAUCGAUGUAGGUUUUGAUGGAAAUCCUCGGACUUGGUGCAAUAACUGGGAAAACGAAGGAGAAAUUAAACAAAUGUUGGAUAGAAUGCUUUGUACUCAUACCUGGUUCCAGAUGUUUGACAAAACAAGGUGCAAACAUGUUGACAAUUACAGCUCAGAUCAUAGUAUGAUUAUGGUUGAUACUAACCCUGAAAAGGACGAAAGAAGGAAAAAAUUCAUUUUUAACAAAAGAUGGAUACAACAAGAAGGGAUUACACAGGUGAUUGAGGAAGCUUCGAAUUAGAAGUGGAAGGAUAAAAAAUGUACCAAGUCACUAGAAAGAUUUCUAAUUGUAGAGUGGCUCUUCUGAAGUGGAAAAAUAGUUUUUAGCAUAACUCUAGGAACAGAAUCAAGGCAGACAUGGAGAGGCUUAGAGAGUCUACUGAGUUUCACAAAGGAGCUAUGGAUGAUCUUAAGACUCAACUUAAGAGAGCUUACUCUAAUGAGGAAAUGUACUGGUCUCAAAAAUCUAGAGUUACUUGGUUGAAGGAGGGGGACAAAAAUUCACAGUUUUUCCAUGCUAGUGUCAAAGGUAGAAUGAAAAGGAAUAGGAUGGUUAAUGUACAAAGAGAUGAUGGAUCAUGGACUUCAAAUGAGAAGGAACAAGGAGAGGAAGUGGUUAGCUAUUACCAACAACUCUUUGAUAGUCAAGGCACUGAAGGCGUUGAGGAUAUCCUGAGGGGAAUACCAAACACAAUUUCUGAUCAAAUGAAUGCAAAUCUGACUAGAACUGUCACUAAGACUGAGAUUAAGUAUGCACUUUUUUCUAUGCAUCCCAACAAAGCCCCUGGGCCUGAUGGGAUGACACCUCUAUUUUUCCAAAAAUUCUAGAGGGUUAUCAGGUCUGAUGUUGUUCCAGCUAUCCAGAGUUUUUUUCACUCAGGUUUCAUGCUAAAGUCUCGUAACCACACGGUUGUCUCUUUGAUUCCCAAAGUUGAGAUGCCAAUCAAUCUUAAACAGUACAGAUCCAUAAGUCUUUGCAAUGUGUUGUAUAAAAUCAUUUCCAAAUUGCUUGCCAACAGACUUAAACAUAAUCUAGACUGUUGUAUAAGCAAGAACCAGGCAGCUUUUUCCCCAGGGAGACAAAUAUUAGAUAAUGUCAUUGUGUCCCAUGAAUAUCUCCAUUAUCUGAAAAACAAAAGACAAGGUUCAGUAAGGUGUAUGGCAUUAAAACUUGACAUGGCAAAAGCCUAUGAUAAGGUUGAGUGGAAAUUCUUAGGUGCAAUCAUGCAGAAAAUGGGAUUCUCAGAGAGAUGGAUAAACUGGAUAUGGAAAUGCUUGUCAACUGUCUCAUUCUCGUUCAAGAUUAAUGGUGAUCAGAAAGGCUAUGUCACUCCCAAGAGAGGUAUAAGACAAGGGGAUCCUCUAUCCCCCUAUUUGUUCUUAAUCUGUUCUGAGGGUUUAUCAAACGUGCUGCGAAGAGCCGAGGCAAGCAAAACUGAUGUCAGGUAUUAGUAUCAGUAGAAGAGGCCCAUCAGUAUCACAUUUGUUCUGAUGAUACUUUAGUUUUUUGCAAAGCAAGCCCAGGUCAAGCUGAGGAACUCAUGAACAUUCUAGCCACAUAUGAAAGAGGCUCUGGUCAGAUGGUAAACUAUGACAAAUCAUCUGUGUUCUUCAGCAAGAAUACACCGAAGGGGGAGAAAGUUGUUGUGUUCAGAAAGUUAGGAAAUGUCCAAAUGGUAAACCAAGGUAAAUAUCUUGGACUACCUAUGGUCAUUACAAGGACGAAGGAGUAGCUGUUUGGUUUAUUAGAAAUAAUUGCCAACAAAGGAUGGCAAGUUGGAAAAACAAAAUGCUCAGCAAUGCAGGGAAGGAAGUGCUACUGAAAGCCAUCACAAUGGCCUUGCCUACGUACGCCAUGUCCUGUUUCAAAUUUCUAGGAAAACUCUGUAAAGAUAUUAGCGCUAUAAUGGCAAGGUACUGGUGGGGAGAAGACAAGGGAAAAAAGAAGAUGCAAUGGUGUUCCUGGUCAAAACUUACGAAAGACAAAGGCAGAGGGGAAAUGGGAUUCAGGGACCUGCAAAAUUUUAGUAAAGCUCUCCUUGGCAAGCAACUCUAGAGACUGGUAACAUGCCCAAAUUUAUUGCUAAGUAAAAUUAUGAAGGCGAAGUACUUUCCAGAUAGAUCAUUAUUCCAGUAUAAGGUGAGCCCAACUGCUUCAUGGGUUUGGAAGAGUAUGGCCAGUGUUAGAGAUGAAGUGGGGAAAGGAAUUUGGCGGAAAAUUGGGGAUGGUAGCAGUACCAAUAUUUGGAAAGAUCAUUGGAUCCCAAAUAACAAAGGAGGGACACCUACUACUCCUAAACCCCAAAGCUGCUGCCUAAACAAAGUGAAAGAACUGAUAACAAACUUCAGCUGGAAUAGACUACUGAUUUUCAGUACUUUCAAUGGCAAAGAUGCUGAAGAAAUCCUCAAAAUCCCAAUAAGUGUGAUAGGAAGGACAGAUAGCAGUUACUCGAUAGCAAGCACCAAUGGAAACUACACUGUGAAGUCAGCCUACAAGAUGUUGGCAGGGGAGGAGAAAACUACUAAUAUUGGAAAGGGAGUAGCUAGAAGGCAAGGGGAAACCAGCUUUAAUGGACACAGAAGGAGAAAGAUUGGAGCAAAAUGAGGAAAAUGGACAUUAAAGGUAAACACAAGACCUUUCUUUGGAAAUGUCUGAACAAAGCUCUACCAGUGAACGAGCUCAUAUACUACAGAACCAAAAUGGGGGAACCAAUUUGCCAAGUCUGUGGCGCAGGAGAGGAAACCAUAGAACACUUGUUUUUCUUUUGCAAUCCAGCAAAGGAAGUAUGAAGGUUCGCACCAGUGCAGUGGGAUGGCAUUGCUGACAGUAGAGGCAAUUUCAACAAAUGGUGGAGUGGACUAAUGAAGCAACAAGCAGAAAUGAAGGUCACCAGCACCAAGCUCUUACUGUGAACAUUCUUUGGCAACUGUGGAAAGCCAGAAAUGAGAAGGUCUUUAACAACAAGUGCAGGACUCCUUUUGACAUUGUACUGAAAGCUCAUCUAGAAUGGAUAGAGUACACUGAAGUGAAAAGUAGAGAGAAGCGGGUGAGCAGCCAGGAAACAUCAGCUAAUGAUGAAGAGGGACCGUGUGACAUUAAACACAGCAACAAGAUGACAAUUGAAGUGGAGGUGAGCCAGCUGAAAGAAAGCAAAAUUGUUAGCAUUGGCAUAGUGGCAACAAAAGACAACAAUGUGCACGCUGCAUGGGCCAUGCAAGGCAGAAGUACAAGUGACAUUUUACUGGAUUAUACUGCUGCACUCAAAUUAUCAUUGUGCAAAAUCAGAGAAAAGCCUUGGCCAGAUGUUAAUCUGCUAGUUUCAUCCGCUCAGUUGUUACGAAUGCUGCGAACUCACAAGACACAAGACACAAGACAUCAGACUUUUUGCUCAAUUGGAAGACAUUCACAUGCUCAAAGCUUUAUUUAUGAACUGCUCAUUCAGCUUGGUUGAAAACAAGUGUAAUAGAUGAGGGAGAAGAAUUGCCACUGGCCAUUUGGUCCAGUGGUCAUCACCAUAUUUGGUGAUGCUGGAGGUCAGGGGUUCAACCCCUGCCUCCCACAAAUUUGCCACAAUAUAUGACUGGUCUUAGUUGACCAUCUUCCUUUAUCCCUUCCCCUAGAUUAGGCUAGAUUAGGUUAUAGGACAUCUAUCGUUGCAGGAAAAAAAAAAAAGAUGAGGAAGAAGAAUUAACAAGUAUGCUACUACAUUAGUGCAAGAUGAGGAAUAUCUAAGUCCUUUGUGUCAAACGACACAAUUGUAAACCUCGUGAUGGGCCUUUGCUCAAGUUUGUAUAGCUUGUUUUUUAAAUCAAUAAAUUUCCUAUCGUUUCCGUAAAAAAGAAAAAGUUGAGUUUGAACUCAAAAUACUACAAAUAUAUUUUACAUGGGCUGAGCUCGAACUCACUUGAGCCCGGCUCACAUAACUCAAUUAGUAGGCCUGGCCUUUUUCUUUUUCUUUUUUUUUCUAAAAUUAAAUACUAUAAGCAGCCAAUCUUCAUCUAUCGGUUAUUCUAUUAAAGGAGGGGAAAUUUGUGAUCCCUAGGGCUAGGGCGACUCACGUCUUGCCGUCAUUGGAGCCCUUAGGGUUAGUUGCUUUUAGCAGAUUUCCUCUAAGAAAUCCAUGGCCGAGACAGUAGUCAGGAGAAGCAUGGCAGAUUUGCCAGAACCCAUCAUACAUCACAUACUCUCUUUUCUCUCAGGUGAUCAAGCAGCUCAAACAACUGUGUUGUGCAAGGCAUGGUUGAAUGCAUGGCUCACUCGCCCCACUCUAGCAUUUAGCAGUGCCUUCUUCUUCUCCAAGAAAAAGAAAAGGACAAAAGAAUUUUGUUGGCAUCCGCCGGAUAGGGAUGAGAUCAGGGAAUAUAACAACUUCGCCAAAUACGUGGAAAGGAGUUUCGAUAGGUACCAUAAACAGAAGACUGGUAUAGACACGAUUGAGCUGGAGAUCGAUAAAGGUGUGUUUGACUGGGAGCCGGUUAUCAGGAGAUGCAUUCAAGUUGCUGCAGAAGACAGCGUGAAAAACCUCAAACUCUCACUCUGCAACAGUGAGUUACCUGAAAUUCUUCUUUUUGAAGCUAAAUCACUAGUAGAUUUAACUCUUAGCCAGGUCAAGUUGGUUGAGCGAUCAACUGAGAAAAUUAAACCGUUUGAUCGUCUCAAGAGGCUGUCUCUUAACUAUGUAGAGUUCUAUGAUGUGCCGUUUGAGAGCAUAAUAUCAUGCUGCCAAUCGGUUGAAAUCUUGGAAAUUAGUUACUGCAAAAAUGGCAACGAUUCUGAUCAAUAUUUUAAGGUAGCCGGACAAAAUGCUCUCAAGGAGUUGAUUGCCGUGUUAUCACAUCCUCAAACACUAAUCUUGUGUGAGGCACCAAGUCUUGAAUCACUUACUUGUAAGUCUGACGGCAAGCAUGGUCAGUAUCCUUGCUUGCUUAAUUUGCAUUCAUCUCAAUAUGAGAAUCUCAAGAGUUUGUUGCUAUCUGGUGUUGGCGUUGGUGACGUUUUUUUUGUCAACUUGGCACAUUAUUUUCCACACCUUGAAAGUUUGUCUGUCCAAUAUUGCCAAGAUUUGAGGAACAUCAAAAUCUCGAGUCCCUCCCUAAAAAGAAUACAGUUGGUGCGGAAUUGGGGUUUGAGAAAGGCACAAUUUGAUGUUCCGAGUAUCAUAAAAUUUGAGUAUGAUGACCGAAAAUGCAGGAUCAUACCCGAGUUCUCUUUUGCAGCUGCUUCAAGUCGUUGGGUUUCUUGCUUUACUAUAUGCACGCAGGAAGAUGCGGGCAAUUCAUGUUUCCUCCAAUUGAAGAAACUGGUCACCAGUUUAGCUCAGUCUGCAGUUUCACUCAAACUUAUGUUUAGAUGGAAUGAAGCAUUCAAUUUGGAGGAGGCUAUGAAGGAUGGAGGAUUUGACGAACCUCAAGUGUUGCAGGAACUGUUUUCCAAGUCCAUAGAUUGGAACUUCCGUGUUUCAUCUGCUUAUUCAAUGUUGGAUGUUAUUUUUUGGGUGUGUCGUCCAAAAGCCAUAGUGGAUUUUUGGAUUAACAAGCCUAGGUACAAUGAGAGGUUGCACUUUCUGUACACGAAGCUUAUGUUCAGAAAAAAUCAUAAACAAUUUCACAAUUCUCAACAAAUGAAGUUUUGGCAGAGCGAUCUAAGGGAAGUAAAAGUAGAGAUCUUUCAUCGUUGCGUAAUUCACUCGGAGCUCGGCUUGGACUUCAUUUUAGUUGGAGAAGGAGAGCAGUUGGAGGAAACUCUAGAUUGUAAGGAUUUUCUGAGUUUUCUAAGAACUCGUGCACCCAGCUGGGGAAUGAUGAUUAAAUUCAAAUUGGAUUGGGAGACCAACUGACCAGCAUCUGGGGUAUCCGAUGAAGCAAAAUCAUCAAAAAGUUCGUGUUUGAAGUUUGAAGAGUUGGCUUUUGAUUUAUAAGGUAGUAAAUAUUUCGUGUUUGUAUUACUAUCUCAUCUCAAUCAGUCAAUACAAUUAUGCUGCAGAUUGAGUCUAGUAUAUGAAUUGAUCAUCCCAAAUAAUAUAUGUAAAAUGAAGUGAACCUGUAAAUGCAAUAUGGCAUGAGGUAGUUAGUCCUGCUUGGUGAAUUAGAAAUCAUACCCAAAUAACAAGGAAGAAAAGAGAUUACUAGGAUCACAGAAGCUGCAUGGAGGUAUAAAACCAUAGUGAUCUAAGUGGUUUUGAACGUGAUCUGCAUUCAAUUAUGUAUGAAAAAUUGAUUGUUUGAUUAUACAUCUCAGUGUGUUAGGUGUGUUUCGCGAUAAUUGUAAUUUUCCUUGCAUGUGUAUGAAGAAUGUUAAUCGUAUUAGCGUUAAUCAAGUAAUUUAUGUCAAAUUAUGCAUGCUUUAUUACAUUCCAUCAUAUUGAUCAUUCUUGAUUUCUCUUGUAUUGUUAGAAUUAGUUGCCAAAUCUAAUAUAUAUUUUGAGCGUGUUGUUGUGUUUCUUUGUAGGAUGAAUUUUCAUAUGACGUCAAAGAGAUGUAUUCAUGCAAGUUCCAGAUUGUUGAAGGAUAUUGUCUCAGACUUGAAUUUCCAUUAUUCCAAAAUUCUUGAUGAUGGCUGCAAAACAUAGUCUUCCCAGGUAGAUUUUGUGUCAAGAGUUAGUUGAUCCGUCACCUUCUUGCUCCUUAAUUAUCAAAUUGAAAAGAAAAUUUAGACUUUAUGGCUUUAAUUUGUACUAUUCAUCCAGAAACCUGAAAAAUGAUCGAGUAAGUAUUAAAGUCUUUGUUAUGCAAUUUGGGUUUUUUUCCCUUCUGUUAAAAAAUUUAGUUUUUCUAUGCUCGUAAUUGGUGUAUGCUUUUUCUGUGCCAAUAACAUAAAUUAACUGCUUAUAAUAUGGAUGCAUUAUUCUUUUCCUCUGAAAAAUGUGAUCAAAAUCAUUUUUGAACCAAAAAAAGAACAUAGAGACCAUAAGCAUUUACUAUAUUAUUGGUACCUAAAUAUUGUACAAUUGCCAUAUGCCAAGAUAAAUGUGUACACGUAUGUGUGAACCUAAAAAAUGUUACAAUUAUUGAGAAAAAUAAAAGAAACAAACGACAAGAGUUUAUUUCUUUGUAAAAAACUGUCUUGACUCAUAACAUGAAAUUGUUUUAUUUAUAGAGUUCAAAACAACUCCACUAACUAUCCCAAUAACUCCACUAAUUCCACUAACUCCAUUAAUUAGGUAAAACAAAAUAAACAAACAUGAUUAAUUAACAACAGUAAAUAUUUCUAACAAAAAAAAAAUUGUGUAUGUAUGAAGAUAAAUACUGAACAUUCACUCUAUUUGUAAGACAAAUUUUUCAUGGUUACUGCUUCCAAAUUGUGCAGCACUAAACCAGCAUUGCCUACCACCAAAACAAAAAAACAAAAACAAAAAGAAAAAUCGCGUGCACACACACACACACACGCAUCAUCGGAGAAUUGAGAAUCAAUGCAAGAAAAGUUAUUCAAAUAAAUUUGCUGAAAUCUCUGCUUGAAGGGAUGAAGGCAUGGUAUCUUGCUGAGUUUUAGUGCCGAAAGAUAUUUCGCUGGCAUUUAAUUUGCUGCUUCUGAAGCAAAAUAGUUAUCGAUUGUUUGAUUUCUUUCUAGUUUCGCGAAAUAUAAAAAGGAAAAGGAUGCAUCAUGGAAGAUUUCUUACAUCUCUUUGGUUUCUUCCUAAAGGACCCAAACAUUCAAUCCUUCAAGAUUUCAGUUUCCAGCCCAGGUCUAUAACAUUGCAAUCAACUAAAAAGUACCCUUUUCUAGCUAUUUUCUCAGCAACAGCUCCAUAAUUUGACCACAUAAAAUUGUAGAAAAAAAUUUUAUACUUGAGAUGGAUAUUCACAUGCUGCUUUGGAAUGAAAUUUUGACUAAAUUCUGCUUCGGACCAAUUCUGUUGUAUCCAAGCUUAGCAGUUUUUUUUUUUUUUUUUGCCACAGUAAUAUUCUUUCUGAAAAUUAUUUCCCUUGUAAUGCACUUCCAUAUUUUAUUCCCAUUAUGAAUUUUUCUUGACUUGUCAUCUCCUAUUUGCCAUGAUGAAAAAUGAAAAUAAGAAAGGGUCACUUAUAAAUGGAGAAAUUGCCAUUCAUGAUAAACAAAAACUUUGAAGGUUUUUUAUUUCAAAGUGUAUGCCAACCUAUCUUACCUUGGUAGUUUACUUAUCAUUUAAAGUAAUUAUUUUCACAAUAUGAACCACGAAAUGAUCAAUCCAUGAGAAUUCUCAAGAUUAAUUAAAUUUUGCACUAGGUGUUGGCCAAAAGAAAAUAAAAUGAAAUGGAUGUAAUUGGAACAAUAAAAUUUCCAAUGGAGCAAAAAGGAAACUAAUCCUACUUGAAUAGAGAUUAAACACCUCAUAAAAAAGGGAAGUAAUUGGUUUCCAUCACCCAAAAAAAAAAAAAAAAAAAAAGUGUAGUAGUUACAGAUACCAGCUGGAGAUGAAACCACAUUGGGCUACCUGUAAGCUGUACUGACUAUUUGUGGUGGGUGUGAUUAGUCUGAGCAUUUGUAUUCGGUAUAUUUAGGCACAACUUCAUAGAUUUGGGCAAUAAUCGAGAUACAUUAUGCAAGAGCAAUCCUUUUGGUGUCUUUUUUUUUAUUUUUUAUUUUUUUUAAAAAAACCUUAUUCUUUUUGGGUGUUGCUUAUUUUUGUCACUCUUUCAAAUGCCAAUGUUACAUUCAUAACAAAGGACAAAUUCCUACAUAUCUCUCACACGAAAUAUUAACUACAAUAAUCACCUCCUAAUCUGAAUAAUAAUCAAAGGGUAGCUUUAAUUUUUAACUUUCUAUUGCUUUUUUUUCCUUUUUAAUUAAGUACAUAUAUAAUAUUUACCAAAAUCACUAAUUCAAAAUAGAGAUCGCAAGCUUAUUUCAAUUGCCCGUAAUCGAGUUAAUUAAUUACAAAGCAUAAUCUUAAACCCGUUAUGUAAGUAAAAUCAAAGCAUAAUUUUAAGCCCGUUAUGUAAAUCAAACCAAAUCUCUACAUCUGCAUAAUAUUGUGUUAAACAAAACAGUAAACUAAACUAAACUAAACAAUGAACUAAAACAUCAACAACCAAGUGUUUGACCCGAUUAUGGUCACGUAGUCUUUCUCAAUUAUUCUUGGUGACUUUAAUACAUCUUUAAUUUAUAUAGCACCAAAGUGAUAUUCUCAAAAACUUGAGGAUCCAAACAUCAUCCACCUAGGGCAGCAAGCAGGGUGAAUUUUAAGCCCGUUAUACUAAUUUUAUUCUGUAAAAGCCCAUAAUAAGUAAACAUGCAAAUAUAAGAGUAGCCAACCUCUUCUAAAUCUAUAUUCCCCUAGGGCAGCUCUUUUCCUUGCAGAUCAAUUUAGCCUUUAAGCCAAAAAUCAAGCUUGCCGAUGGCAUCAAUGGUAGACUUGCCAGAUGACAUUAUAGGUCAUAUUAUCUCUUUCCUCUCAUACAAGCAAGCAGCCAAAACGAGCGUGCUGUCUAAAUCAUGGCUGAAUGCAUGGCGGGCACGUCCCACGACCGGCUUGACAUUGGAUUAUAACAACUUCCGCAAGGAAUUGAAAACAGAAGGUCAGGGGCGUUGGCAUAAAAGAACGAAAGAGGAGGGAAAGAGAAAGUUCACUAAAUACGUCAGAAGAACCCUGAAGAGCUGCACCAAAGAAAAGAUAGGCAUAAACGAGUUCAAGAUUAUUGUAAGUGGAAUUUUUUUUUUUUAUUGGAAUUCUCUCGUUAAGAGAUGCUUGCAGGUGGCUGUUAAAAGUGGUGUGAAGAAACUCUAUCUUGAUCUCUACGGAUGUGCUUUGCCUGAAAUCUUCUUCGACGCUAAAUCACUAGUAGAUUUAGGCCUAAGGGGGGUCGCGUUGGUUGAACAAUCGAUGGAGAAAAUUAAAGGGUUUGAUCAUCUCAAGCGACUCUCUCUAUGCAUGGUUGACUUAGAUAAUGUCACGUUUGAGCGCAUGAUGUUAAGCUGCCAACAGAUUGAAAUCUUGAAAAUUAGUUAUUGUGAUUUCGAUGAUGAAUAUGCUCAAUACUUUGAUGUGCCUGAUUUAGCCAAUCUUAGGAAGCUUACUGUGGAGCUGAACUAUAAUCAAAGUUUGAUUUUGCAUGAGGCUCCAAAUCUUGAAUCACUAUUUUGUUCGAGUAAUGAAGACUUCAUGCGCGAUAUUGGUGAUUGGGCGCCUUGUUGGCUUGAUUUGCGUUCGUCUCAGUACAAAAAUCUCAAGACUUUGGUUUUAUAUGCUGUUGGCCACUGUUACAAGGUUUUGAUCCAAAUGGAACAUAAAUUUCCAUGCCUUGAAGAUUUGACAAUCCAAUAUUGCCAAGACUUGAAAAGAAUCAAAAUUAAGAGCGACUCCCUGAAAAAAAUACAGUUGUCGGAUAAUUGGGGAUUGAACAAGGCACAAUUUGACACCCCAAGCAUUGUUCAAUUGUAUUCGCUGAUAGCCAAUGCGAGAUCAUUCCAAUUUUGUCUUUUAUAGCUGCAUCAGGUCAUUGGGCUUCUAAUAUAAGUAUAACCUGGAAUGAGAAUCUGGACACUUCAUGGCUCUUCAAAUUCCAGAGAUUGUUGGCAAGUCUAGUUCAAUCUCAAAUUUCAGUUAGCCUUGAGCUUUUGGGCAGUAUUUCAUUUGAUUUCAAUGAAAUUGGAGAUAAUUUAACAUCUCAUGAACCUCAAGAGGUGCACGAAUUGACUCUGGACAUCCACAGGGAAUCUUUAUUAUCAUCUCCAGUCCUAGUGUUGGACGCCCCUUUUUGGGUUUGUCGUCCAAAAACUAUAAGGCAACACUGGGGUUUUUCGGACGCCAUGUUGGCAUCAUUUUUUGGGAGGAACAUUGAGACUUUGAAGCUCCUUUAUGACAUGUUAAUACUAAGAAAUAAUCAAGAACUAGUCCACAGUUUGCAACAAUUGAAGUCCUGGGAGGACAAUUUGAAGGGACUGAAAGUUGGGAUCUUUAAGAGCCGUCUAGAUGGGGUGGCAAGCACAAGAAAAUACUAUGCAGGGGAACAAAGAGAGCAGCAAUUGGAAGCUUUGGAUUGGGAGAAUUUUUUGAAGGUAGUAAAUACUCAUUCAGAUGUGUUGAUUCACUUCGGGUUGGACUGGAAAGCAUCCGUCAAGCCCGAGGGGACAAAGAGGAAAGCAACUGACAAGCCUAAGGAAGAAAAAUCAUCAAAACGGUCAAAUUCAAAGGUGGUCUAAUUUUUCACAAUGUUCAUGAGGUCUUAUUGAAAGGUUGUGAUUUAUGAUUUGGCAUGUGGCACAAUUUUUUCAGAAUUUAAUUGCAAUGCUGUUUUACUUGGUAGUAUUUACAUUUUUCAAAUUACGAGUACUAACUUGAUCAAAAUUUUGAUCAAUCAUAUUUGUAGUAUGUGCUUUUGCUUCGAUUUUCUUUGAUGGAAUUACUCAUAAUGACUAAUGCAAGUUGUUCCUGGAGUGACUCUUUAACUUAGAAAGUAAAACCUGGUCCCUUAGUCAAUAUGGCAGCCUCAAGUAGUCUAACUUUUGGUAACUCUUUUGUUCUUGCAAUCUGUCCUGUGCAAAUUCUAAAGACUAAUAGCAAACAACACAAUCUGUGGUGGAUUCGGGGGAAAGAAAAGAUUCAGUAGAUGCAGAAUAAUUCAUUGUGACUCACAAGAAUAUUAAUGUAUACGCAUACGAGACAAAUGUAGACACUAAAACAACAAAUUUAAUUGCAUGUAAACCAUAAUAACCUUUUAACACACAUUGAAUCAUCUUUCACAAUCAAUCUCAUCAGAGGACUUUCAUGCAAUCAUUUUGUUAGUUUUAUUUUUUCCUUUUUUUUUGUUACCAUCACUCACAAUUAAUGUACCUCUUGCAUCUAGAUAUUUUUCUAAAUUAAUUUCACUAUUCCAAAAAAAAUUAACUUAGCCUCAAAAAAAAAAAAAAUCAACCUAGUCCCUCUUAAGGAGUGUCCUGAGACGCUUGAUAGCUAAAUCCAUUUGAAACUUCAGGAUCGAGCAAGAAAAAUUUUCAAAAAGAAAAAGAAAAAAGUUAAAUAUACCAGUUGUCUUCUAAGAACCCAAUUAGACUUAAGAACAGUGAGCAGAAAGCUUUUAAGACUGUAAAAAUAAGUAAAUGAAUCGAAAGAGUACUUAUCCUGUUAGAAAUUCCAGUUACUUUAGUAAGACCGAACUCAUAUGCCCAAAAAAGCAAUCCUUCUGAUUCGUUAAACAAUUAGAACUUUUGUGAGUUUGGGAGACUGGAAAUCAAUGGUGACAUGGAAGUUGAGCUCUUAUUAGAGUAGAAUUCUAAUCCUACAUAUAAUCUCGAGCGAAGCACGACUACAAUUACAUUUCCCUGGUGCAGGUAGAGUUACAGUUGCUUGUUGCUAUGGCGCAAUCAGAAACAGUAGAAGAUUGUUCAAUCAAUUUGCCAGUACAUAUAAUACAUCAUAUACUCUCAUUCUUCUACUCUCCCAAGGAAGCAGCACAAAAAGUUUAGGGCAAAUUACACUUUACCCCCUGUGGUUUAGUAUUUUUAUACAUAACCCCCGUAUAGUUUUAAAAGUUAUACCUAACCUCCUUAUGAUUUGAAUUAAAGCGUCAAAGCGAUGGAAUUUGCAAUCCGUGAUGGAAUCACCUAAAAUGUCAAAAAUACCCCUAUAUAAAGUUGAAAUUAUUUAUUAACCACAGGAGAGUUAUGUGUAUAUUUUGAAGAUCAUAAGAGGAUUGUAUGAUAAAAUAUUAAAUCAUAAGGAGAUUAUAUGGUAAAACAUAAAAUCAUACAGGGUUAGUGCGUCAUGUAUAUUAUGUUUAUAUAUUUUGGUUACUUUAUCCAUUUUAAUUUUUAAACAAGGGUAAUUUUAAUAUUUUCAUAGGUUCCGUUACGAAUGAUCAUUUCCGUCACUUUGACACUUUAAUCUAAACCAUGAGAGGGUUAUAUAUAGUUUUUGAAAUCAUAGGGGGGUUAUAUAUAAAAAAAUACUAAACCAUAGGAGGGUAAAGUGUAAUUUGUCCAAAAGUUUAUUGUCCAAGGCAUGGUUGAGAGCAUGGCGCACCCGGCCCAAUUUGAAGUUCAAUGGUUGGGAAUACUCUAUAUCCAAGAAGAACGCUGACAUCCAAGUUCUUGAAAAGCAAUGCUGCGAUUUCAUAAAUUGCAUCAACUCCACCUUGAACAGGUACGAUGAGCACAAGAAUGGUAUUGAUAUUUUGGAGCUUAUUCGCCCUCCAUCUGUAUCGCCUGAGCAUGUUAAUAGAUGGAUCCAAAUUGCUGAAGACAACAAUUUCAAAAGGCUUGUGGUUGAUAUAACUACAGAUUCUUUUAUUUUGUGUUAACCUAUUUCAAUUUUCAACCACAGAAUCUUUUAUUUUGCCUCAGAAUCACUUUUUGAACUGAGUCUCUGCGGCAACUUCCAGUUGAACUCCCCAGUAAUUAGGAAAAUAACUUGUCACAAUCUCCAAAAGCUUUGGCUCACAGGGGUUGAUCUAGACGAAGAAAUGUUUCAAACAAUAGUUGUGAGCUGCCCGUUGAUUGAUUGGUUGAAAAUUUCGAACUGUGCUGGCCUUGCCAACCUUAAGGUGACUAAGCUUCAGAAACUUAAGGUAUUUGAGGUUAUCUUUAAGGGAGGUGGAUGCGUUGCUGUCGAAGCACCAAGCCUUGAAUUCUUUAAUUAUAGUAAAAUAUACUCCUUUGACAAUGAAGAAAGAAUGCCAUCACAACAUUGCAGUCUUCAGAUGCAUUCAUCUCAAAAUCUAAAGCAUUUGCAAUUUGAGAACAUUGACAUUACUGACGAGUUUUUCUUAGAUAUCAAAGAAAAAUUCCCACAUCUUGAAGACUUGAACAUCCAUGGAUGCAACCAUUUGAGAAGAAUCAAGAUUUCCAGCCACCCCAUUAAACGCAUAAAUUUGGAAUCGAACUAUAGACUCGAAGAGGCCCAUAUUGAGGUUCCGAGCAUUAAUCGAUUUAAAUUUAGAGGAUGCUCCAUUCCUCUGUUUUCUUUUACAGCUCCCUCCGGUUCUUGUGUUUCUCUAAUUGAAUUUUAUUGGUGGGACUGGCAGUUACCAGAGGCUUCUUGGUUCGCUAAAUUGAAGGACUUGUUGACAAAACUAAGUCAAUCUGAAAUUUUGCUCCAACUGAAGUGUGGCAGUACUUUAGCAAGCACCAUUGUGGAUGAGAUAAGAAACAGCGCUUUAUAUCCAAUUCCUCAAGUUCAAACAUUGUCGAUACCCUUCGAGAAGGGAAAAUUCUUUGAUGCUGAUCUGAUUCUGGACGCAAUCUUCUGUACCUGUCGUCCAAAAACCAUAGCUCAAGAUUGGAAUCAGAACCUGGAUUUGAACUCAAAUGAACUUUCAAGCAUUGAAUAGUUUGGUCAUCUUCCAACCAUAAUAUGCCCUUUUUUGUUGAAGUUAAGAAAGUUAAGAACCACACUGGAUUACUUUUUUUUUUUUUUUUUUUUGUGAAACAGGGAUAACAGUUGUUGUGGUUGGAACUUUAUGGACCACUUUAGUACAUACUUGGACUUCAGGGACAAAAGUUGCAUUUUUUUUCACAUAGUGCGUUAGCCGUUAAGAGACUAUCUAACAAUCAUUGAGAGCUGUAUAAAAUUCGUAUCAGAAAAAAGAAAUAUAAAGAAGGAAAAUUUUAAGAUGACAAAAAAAAUACAGAAAUUGCCAAUUAUUUUUGAGACGUAUGUAAUCGUGUUACUCAAUUAUAGAUAGGGUGGAGUCUACACCUAAUUCCGCCCCUCUAAGGUGGUUUAAUUUUGAUUAAAAAAAAAAAGGAAUUUCACAUGACUCCUGCCAAUAGGAAUUUGUAGAUUUGUCAAUUACGCUUUCCUGUUUCGAAUUGGAAACAAUAGGAGAGUCCAAUUCGAACUGUUUUGGGUUAUGGAAACUGGGAACCAAUGGCGGUGACAAAUUACUCCAUAGUGCAUAAAAGGAGCAGUAUCUUCAGAUUUCCCUAGUGCAAAUUGCUCUGCUUCAUCAAUUCACGCUGACAACAGUACUCUAGCGUAUAACCUAAAAAGUUGUCUAUUACAAUGGUGGAGACAGAAGCUUUAGAAGAUUGCACGGCGAAAUUGCCUCAACAUAUUAUGCAUCACAUACUCUCUUUUCUCCAAAUCCCAGAACAGGCAGCACCAAUGAGUUUGUUGUCGAAGGCAUGGUUGCAGGCAUGGCGCACGCGCCCCAAUUUGGAGCUUUUGUACAAUAUAUAUUCAGAACCGACUGAUAAAGGCAUUCAAAAAAGGCGAAGUGAUUUCGUAAAUUGCAUCAACACCACCUUGCAACGGUACCGUGAGCACAAGAAUGGUAUUGAUCGUUUAAAUCUUUGUAGCCCUCCAUCUGUAUCGCCUGAGGAUUUCAAUAGAUGGAUCCAAAUUGCUGUGGAAAACGGAGUCAAAAGUCUUGAUAUUGCUGCCCCUUCUGGUUCUGAAUAUUUUGUUUUGGCUCCAACUGUUUUUGAAGCUAAGUCGAUUGCAGAAUUGGAUCUUUGCCAUUUCCAGUUGAAGCCCCAAGUGAUUAAGACGAUAAGGUGUCACAAUCUCCACAAACUUCGGCUUAUGCAUGUGAAAUUAGACGAGGUAUUGUUCCAAAGAAUAUUGUCCAGCUGCCCGUUGAUUCAUUUGUUGACAAUUGUUAACUGUGCGGGUCUUGCCAACGUUAAGGUGACCAAGCUUCAGAAGCUUGAGCAUCUUGAUAUUGUAGUAAAGGGAAGUUGUUCUGUUGAAGUCGAAGCACCAAGUCUUCUGUACUUUAAGUAUGGCAAACUACUUUCCUUCGAGAUAGAACGAACAUCAAGACAUCGCAAGCUUCGGAUGCAUGCCUGUCCAAAUCUAAAGCAUUUGCUGUUGGACGAAAUUGGCAUCACUGACGAGUUUUUCUUAGAUUUCGCAGAAAAAUUCCCACAUCUCGAAGAGUUAGAAAUCACAAGCUGGGGCGGCGAUUUGGAAAGAAUCAAUAUUUCCAGCCGCUCCAUUAAGCACAUAAGUUUGGAAUUGCACUUGGAACCAGUAGAAGAGGUCCAAAUUGAUGUUCCAAGCCUUGAUUGGUUUGAAUACACAGGAAAAUCCAUAAACCUGUUUUCUUUCACAGCUCCCUCUGGUCCUUGUGUUUCUACAAUUAAAUUGCAGUGUCGGGAAUGGCCCUUACCAGUGGCUUCGUGGUUCUCCAAAUUGAAGGACAUGUUGACAAAGCUAAGUCAAUCUAAAGUUUCACUCCAUUUAGACAUUGAUCAACUUGUGUCCAGGUCCACUGUUUUUGAGGUAAGAAAUAGAUCCAUUCUUCCACUGCCUCAAGUUCAAAAGUUGUCCUUAUGUUUUCACAAUAGAUGUUUAGAUACUGCAGACUCAAUUUUAGAUGCUAUCUUCUGGACUUGUCGUCCUAAAACCAUUGCUCAAAAGUGGAACAAGUGCCUGAAGCCAAACAAGAUUCACCUCGCAAAGGUAAUCUAUGAGACGUUCCUUCUGGGAGGAGAAAAUAUUAAGCACACCAACGUGCAGAAAAGGAAGCUUUGGCAGAAUGAUCUGAGGGAUGUAAAACUCGUGAGAUUUAAAAAGGGCCAAAGAGUGCACUUGUCUAGUUCUCUGGACUGGGAUACUUUUUUGGAAGUAUUCCCGCGUAAAGGGGACUGUCGACGUUUUCGCUAUGAGCUAGAGUGGGAACCAAUAGACGUGGAUCGGAAGCAAAAAGUUUCAAACCCAAAAAGAAGGAAAUUAGAGGAGAGCAGGAAAUAGCAGAAAGCGGUAUCAAGAAGCUGAUGAAUAUGAUGUUCAAGGGCUUUCCGAAUGCAUUUAAUCGUCUUAGUGACAGGCUCAAAUAGUUCCUGGGCAGGAGUUAAGUAUUUUGAUCCUGAUAUUCCAUGCCAAAAUUGAAGAUGAAUACCUAGACAUUAUUUAGAGUUUAAAUACCCUUUUACGAUCAUUAUUCACCAAAAUAUUGACCCUUUUGUCAAAAUUAAAAAAUCUUGACAUUUUUGUCGGCAAUCCAUAACUAUAUAAAGAAAUUUAUUUGUAGAAAAUUGACGUCUUAUAUAUAUAUGUCAAACUUUUCAUGGGGUCGAUCUUCCACUUAACGUCUGAACAAAACCAAUACAGAGUCCUACAAUCCAGAACAGCCGUGGCUUUUCCUUUUGCUCCCUUGCCAUGUUUUCAAAUUCUUUAAGAAUUUCUUCAUGCAGCAGAAGGAUGAUUUAUGAUGUUCCUGCUUUCACAUAAAUUUAACAGUAAAGAUACAAGAUAUGUUGUUCCUUCUCUUUGUAUUUAACUCUCUUCUCUAUGAACACACAUGAUCAUGAUACAGUUCUCGUUCCUACGUCCUUGCACAUGUAUCUUGUGCUUGUACAUUGGAAAUAUCAAACAGUAGGAGGAGCCAAAAAAAGAGCAAGAGAGGGCUAAGAAUUCCUUCGUGUGCUUCCCAGACAUUUUGAUACUAUCCAACAUUUUUGACAAAAAAAAAAAAAAAAUCCACGAGGCCAAGUCCCUGUGCGAUUGUUCGACAGUCAACAUGUUUUAUCUCUUGUUUACCAGUCCAAGGCUUGUUUCAGCGAGUAAUUCUCUACUAUCAAUCUUGGAAGAACUCAUGCUCAAUAAAAUCCUAUGAAAUUGGUCUAAAACUGGAUAGGGGAAUUCAAUGCAAACUGAUGCCACACACAGAAUUUCAGCUUUACUGUAAGAAAACUUUGUGGUACACCAAUUCAGUUCCAAGUGCAAGUACAUUAGUAAGGACAAAGAUGAUACUUCAACCAUUAUUGUUUAAGGGCAUGCCCCAAACACUGAGAACGGAUUACUUGGCAUAGUACAUUUGUUCCACGACAAAAUAUAUGAAUAACUUCUGACUGGCACUGCAGCAAUGGUUUGCUUAAUUUCCUUGUAAUGUCAACCUUGACAUCAUGUGUUCAGAUUU
This 32792-nucleotide long non-coding RNA is filed under the name Coffea arabica (coffee). RNAcentral's name for it is "long non-coding RNA (CARA_LNC002429)". The record is from RNAcentral. Lineage: Eukaryota; Viridiplantae; Streptophyta; Magnoliopsida; Gentianales; Rubiaceae.